Molecule: ribosomal RNA, 450 nt
Filed under: uncultured Entrophospora
Lineage: Eukaryota; Fungi; Glomeromycota; Glomeromycetes; Entrophosporales; Entrophosporaceae
Description: SSU rRNA
Rfam family: Eukaryotic small subunit ribosomal RNA
Source: RNAcentral
AGCAGCCGCGGUAAUUCCAGCUCCAAUAGCGUAUAUUAAAGUUGUUGCAGUUAAAAAGCUCGUAGUUGAAUUUCGGGAUUGACGUGACGGUCAUGCCUUAAGGGGUAUGAACUGUUACAGUUGAUUUCUCACCUUCUGGAGAAACUUGAUGUCCUUUAUUGGGUGUCUUGCGGAUCCAGGACCUUUACCUUGAAAAAUUAGAGUGUUUAAAGCAGGCAUUUUUGCUCGAAUACAUUAGCAUGGAAUAAUAGAAUAGGACGGCAUGGUUCUAUUUUGUUGGUUUCUAGGAUCACCGUAAUGAUUAAUAGGGAUAGUUGGGGGCAUUAGUAUUCAAUUGUCAGAGGUGAAAUUCUUGGAUUUAUUGAAGACUAACUACUGCGAAAGCAUUUGCCAAGGAUGUUUUCAUUAAUCAAGAACGAAAGUUAGGGGAUCGAAGACGAUCAGAUACCG